UCGGACUGAGUGGCGGACGGGUGAGUAACGCGUGAGAAUCUGCCUUCAGGAUGGGGAUAACAGUGGGAAACCACUGCUAAUACCCAAUAUGCCGAAAGGUGAAAAUUAUUUUGCCUGAAGAGGAGCUCGCGUCUGAUUAGCUAGUUGGUGGGGUAAAAGCUUACCAAGGCAACGAUCAGUAGCUGGUCUGAGAGGAUGAGCAGCCACACUGGGACUGAGNACACGGCCCAGACUCCUACGGGAGGCAGCAGUGGGGAAUUUUCCGCAAUGGGCGAAAGCCUGACGGAGCAAUACCGCGUGAGGGAGAAGGCCUUUGGGUUGUAAACCUCUUUUCUCAGGGAAGAAGAUCUGACGGUACCUGAGGAAUAAGCAUCGGCUAACUCCGUGCCAGCAGCCGCGGUAAUACGGAGGAUGCAAGCGUUAUCCGGAAUUAUUGGGCGUAAAGCGUCCGCAGGUGGUUUUUCAAGUCUGCUGUCAAAGACCGAAGCUCAACUUCGGAAAGGCAGUGGAAACUGGAAAACUAGAGUUCGGUAGGGGUGGCGGGAAUUCCCAGUGUAGCGGUGAAAUGCGUAGAUAUUGGGAAGAACAUCGGUGGCGAAGGCGCGCUACUGGACCGAAACUGACACUCAGGGACGAAAGCUAGGGGAGCGAAAGGGAUUAGAUACCCCUGUAGUCCAGCUGUAAACGAUGGAAACUAGGUGUGGCUUGUAUCGACCGAGCCGUGCCGUAGCUAACGCGUUAAGUUUCCCGCCUGGGGAGUACGCACGCAAGUGUGAAACUCAAAGGAAUUGACGGGGGCCCGCACAAGCGGUGGAGUAUGUGGUUUAAUUCGAUGCAACGCGAAGAACCUUACCAGGGCUUGACAUGUCCGGAACUUUCCUGAAAGGGAAAGGUGCCUUCGGGAACCGGAACACAGGUGGUGCAUGGCUGUCGUCAGCUCGUGUCGUGAGAUGUUGGGUUAAGUCCCGCAACGAGCGCAACCCUCGUCUUUAGUUGCCAGCAUUAAGGUGGGAACUCUAGAGAGACUGCCGGUGACAAACCGGAGGAAGGUGGGGAUGACGUCAAGUCAGCAUGCCCCUUACGCCCUGGGCUACACACGUACUACAAUGGUUGGGACAAAGGGCAGCGAACCCGCGAGGGAAAGCGAAUCUCAUCAAACCCAGCCUCAGUUCAGAUUGGUCUCUGCAACUCGAGAGCAUGAAGGAGGAAUCGCUAGUAAUCGCAGGUCAGCAUACUGCGGUGAAUUCGUUCCCGGGCCUUGUACACACC
Molecule: ribosomal RNA, 1269 nt
Filed under: Crocosphaera sp. 2 str. KNU CB-MAL054
Lineage: Bacteria; Bacillati; Cyanobacteriota; Cyanophyceae; Chroococcales; Aphanothecaceae
Description: bacterial SSU rRNA
Rfam family: Bacterial small subunit ribosomal RNA
Source: RNAcentral